This 468-nucleotide ribosomal RNA is filed under the name uncultured bacterium. RNAcentral describes it as "partial 16S ribosomal RNA". It matches the Rfam family "Bacterial small subunit ribosomal RNA", at positions 28 to 507 of the family's 1533-position model. The record is from RNAcentral.
GACGAACGCUGGCGGCGUGCUUAACACAUGCAAGUCGAACGGAAAGGCCCUGCUUUUGUGGGGUGCUCGAGUGGCGAACGGGUGAGUAACACGUGAGUAACCUGCCCUUGACUCUGGGAUAACUUCAGGAAACUGGGGCUAAUACCGGAUAGGAGCUCCUGCUGCAUGGGGGGGGUUGGAAAGUUUCGGCGGUUGGGGAUGGACUCGCGGCUUAUCAGCUUGUUGGUGGGGUAGUGGCUUACCAAGGCUUUGACGGGUAGCCGGCCUGAGAGGGUGACCGGCGACAUUGGGACUGAGAUACGGCCCAGACUCCUACGGGAGGCAGCAGUGGGGAAUAUUGCACAAUGGGCGGAAGCCUGAUGCAGCAACGCCGCGUGCGGGAUGACGGCCUUCGGGUUGUAAACCGCUUUCGCCUGUGACGAAGCGUGAGUGACGGUAAUGGGUAAAGAAGCACCGGCUAACUACGUG